RNAcentral lists this long non-coding RNA (508 nucleotides) under Marmota monax (woodchuck). The record is from RNAcentral. Lineage: Eukaryota; Metazoa; Chordata; Mammalia; Rodentia; Sciuridae.
GUAGUAAGUCCACAUAACUUUCUGGGAAAACAGAGGACACAGUUCUUAUGUUCAAGGGGCUUCAUCCUAGCACUCAGAUGUUAAGUGGUGUAUCUGUUUUAAUAUUGGUGUCAGAAAAAAUUAAAUACACACACUACACACAGUUACCCAGCACUCUAUACAAAAGCAAAGUGAUUAAGUUGUGAAAAUAUAAAUGAGCAGGACCCAGAGGAGAGUAUUCUGUGAUAACUGUGCUUUAGUACCCUCCUGGAGUAUUUUGGCAAUUUCUCACUCAUUUGUAGAUCUCUGUUUUGUUCAUCAGCACUGCUUCCUUGAAGGGAUGGACAAAGAAGUGUGACAUGUACAAAAGCUAGGGGGCAGGAGUCCAUAGGGCCACAUAUUCACUUUACUUUUCAAGGUCUCUGCUCUUUGAGGCUACUGCUUCAGUCAAGCAAGUGUAGAUUAUGAAUAUAAGACGCUUUCCAGUGACUGAUAUUUUAAGAAGCACACAGUAGCUGAAGCAGCUACC